AUUAAGGUAGCAAAGCCAGGCCAUGCAACAAAACUUAAAAUUUUGACACAGAUGCUCAAAUCAUCUCCUUAAUUC
RNAcentral lists this transfer RNA (75 nucleotides) under Anilius scytale (false coral snake). RNAcentral describes it as "tRNA-Leu". Lineage: Eukaryota; Metazoa; Chordata; Lepidosauria; Squamata; Aniliidae. The record is from RNAcentral.